RNAcentral lists this ribosomal RNA (94 nucleotides) under Frullania sp. B BlS-2016. RNAcentral's name for it is "partial 5.8S ribosomal RNA". It matches the Rfam family "5.8S ribosomal RNA", at positions 62 to 154 of the family's 154-position model. Rfam says of the family: 5.8S ribosomal RNA (5.8S rRNA) is a component of the large subunit of the eukaryotic ribosome. The record is from RNAcentral. Lineage: Eukaryota; Viridiplantae; Streptophyta; Jungermanniopsida; Porellales; Frullaniaceae.
CUAGUGUGAAUUGCAGAAUUCCGCGAAUCAUCGAGUUUUUGAACGCAAGUUGCGCCCGAGGCUCGUACCAAGGGCAUGUCUGUUUGAGCGUCCA